RNAcentral lists this transfer RNA (72 nucleotides) under Bos taurus (domestic cattle). It matches the Rfam family "tRNA". Rfam says of the family: Transfer RNA (tRNA) molecules are approximately 80 nucleotides in length. Their secondary structure includes four short double-helical elements and three loops (D, anti-codon, and T loops). RNAcentral also lists the same sequence under 4 other names. The record is from Rfam by way of RNAcentral. Lineage: Eukaryota; Metazoa; Chordata; Mammalia; Artiodactyla; Bovidae.
UCCCUGGUGGCCUAGUGGUUAAGAUUUCAGACUUUCACUGUCAAGACCCAGGUUCAAUCCCUGGUCAGGGAA